GUGGAUGUGCAUGAGAGAGUGUGUAUGUUUCAGUAGGGGUGGGUGGAUGUGCAUGAGAGAGUGUGUAUGUUUCAGUAGGGGUGGGUGGAUGUGCAUGAGAGAGUGUAUGUUUCAGUAGGGGUGGGUGGAUGUGCAUGAGAGAGUGUAUGUUUCAGUAGGGGUGGGUGGAUGUGCAUGAGAGAGUGUAUGUUUCAGUAGGGGUGGGUGGAUGUGCGUGCGCGUGUGCUAUUUCUCUGGUUUAGAGCUUAAUUAUACCAGCCAGGAUGUUGGAGCUGUAAAUCCAACCGUCCGUCACAUACUAAUGACAUCACAGCGUCCUGUCUGCGACAUCACAGGGUCCUUCCUGUCUGUGACAUCACACCGUCCUGUCUGCGACAUCACAGGGUCCUGUCUGCGACAUCACAGGGUCCUGUCUGAGACGUCACAGCGUCCUGUCUGCGACAUCACAGGGUCCUGUCUGUGACAUCACACCGUCCUGUCUGCGACAUCACAGGAUCCUGUCUGUGACGUCACAGCGUCCUGUCUGUGACAUCACAGCGUCCUGUCUGUGGUGAUGAAUCUGGCUGUCUCUCUCUCUUCCUGUUUGUGUGUUUUCCCCCUCCACAUAUAUCUUUGUGAGCAAGCUGUGGUAAUUAAAGGUUUGGGGUUCUGUGAAUGAUAUUGGCUUUGUUUGUUCUUAUUCUUGUUUGUUGUAUUGCCUUUGAAUAAGACAAAAAUCAUUCAAAGGGCCUAUAAAAAAAGUUGUUAUAUCUGUAUUAUCCUAGAAUGUUUAUUUCUGUCUCUGAAUUAGUUUUGAGAAAUAAAAUAAAAAAUAUGGAAGAGACAGGAGAAUAGGUGAUCUCCCACAGUUGUAGAGUCACAUAUGACCAGCAG
RNAcentral lists this long non-coding RNA (873 nucleotides) under Salmo salar (Atlantic salmon). RNAcentral describes it as "lncRNA (ENSSSAG00000118035.1)". Lineage: Eukaryota; Metazoa; Chordata; Actinopteri; Salmoniformes; Salmonidae. The record is from RNAcentral.